CUAUUUUAAUGUCUAUGUGCGUGUGGAAAGUCAUUUCUUUAUAAAUAUUUUUUUAUAGUUUGUAGAUACGUCAUUAGUAAAUUCGGUAAUUUUAAUUUCCAGAGAAAUCACAAAAACACAGUGAAGGUAAUUAAAUAUGAUAACCACUGAAUAUAUGUUUGUUUAUUUGAUAGAAAGAAACAACUUUUCUGAAAUCGUACAUAUGUACUAUAUAUAUUUGUAUUGCUGAGCAAACUGCAGCGUGAUGGCCAUUCUAGUGUUGUGAUCAUAACAAUAAAACGUGUUUAGUAUUACUCCACAAUUAUUGUUUGAUCGCUAGGGAAACUUCGAAGCAGUAGGGGAUGUCACAGACGAUGAAUCUGAAAGCUUUUCAUGGACGUUUGGAUUUAGGUGAUUUUACCUAGAGAGGCAGAGCCAAUCAUAAUGAAGGGGCCCAAGCAGGACAAGUCAAACAGCACUGGAAAUAGUAAAUUACCUAUGACCGCCCCAAUUCUGCCUACCAUCAUAGUUAGACUAACUGCCAUAGUCCUGAAGAGAAGUAUUAAAUAAACGAUAAGAUACUUGACACGUAGAAUAAAGAAAUUAGUAGAAAAUGAUAUAUCUUUGUACCUUAAACACGUCGGGAAAUUAUCGACGAUUACGUUUACGACACAAGCACCACCUAUACUCGACAUGGCUACGAAAACUGAACACAAACCAAGAAUACUGUUAGUGUCUUCAGCCCAGUAAAGCGAGCCACAACAAGCAGCUGCUACAACGAAACAAGUUGCUGCAAUAAAUAGAAAUCGUAAAUUAUUAC
Bombus impatiens (common eastern bumble bee) is the source of this 799-nucleotide long non-coding RNA. RefSeq lists it as uncharacterized. Lineage: Eukaryota; Metazoa; Arthropoda; Insecta; Hymenoptera; Apidae. The transcript is spliced from 3 exons. The record is from RefSeq and is a predicted model, not a curated record.